AGCAGCCGCGGUAAUUCCAGCUCCAAUAGCGUAUAUUAAAGUUGCUGCAGUUAAAAAGCUCGUAGUUGAAUUUCGGGACUAAUAUGUUGGUCGUGCCUCGGUACGUACUGAUAUUUUUGGUUUCUCCCUUCUGACGAACCUUGAUGUCAUUAAUUUGGUGUCUUGGGAAAUCAGGACUGUUACUUUGAAAAAAUUAGAGUGUUUAAAGCAGGCUCACGCUUGAAUACAUUAGCAUGGAAUAAUGAAAUAGGACGUUUGAUUCUAUUUUGUUGGUUUCUAGGAUCGACGUAAUGAUUAAUAGGGAUAGUUGGGGGCAUUAGUAUUCAAUUGUCAGAGGUGAAAUUCUUGGAUUUAUUGAAGACUAACUACUGCGAAAGCAUUUGCCAAGGAUGUUUUCAUUAAUCAAGAACGAAAGUUAGGGGAUCGAAGACGACCAGAUACCGUCGUAGUCUUAACCAUAAACUAUGCCGACUAGGGAUCGGAUGAUGUUAAUUUUUAAUGACUCAUUCGGCGCCUUACG
This 520-nucleotide ribosomal RNA is filed under the name uncultured Glomus. RNAcentral describes it as "SSU rRNA". It matches the Rfam family "Eukaryotic small subunit ribosomal RNA", at positions 569 to 1092 of the family's 1831-position model. Lineage: Eukaryota; Fungi; Glomeromycota; Glomeromycetes; Glomerales; Glomeraceae. The record is from RNAcentral.